This 64-nucleotide transfer RNA is filed under the name Chiridota heheva. Its description in RNAcentral is "tRNA-Tyr". Lineage: Eukaryota; Metazoa; Echinodermata; Holothuroidea; Apodida; Chiridotidae. The record is from RNAcentral. RNAcentral also lists the same sequence under 1 other name.
GGUAGGAUAGUUUAUUUAAAACAGAUGUCUGUAAAAUAUCAGAAGCUUUGUAAAGCUCUUACUU